Molecule: transfer RNA, 83 nt
Filed under: Bacteroidota bacterium
Lineage: Bacteria; Pseudomonadati; Bacteroidota
Description: Bacteroidetes bacterium tRNA-Leu
Rfam family: tRNA
About the family: Transfer RNA (tRNA) molecules are approximately 80 nucleotides in length.
Source: RNAcentral
GCCCGAGUGGCGGAAUUGGUAGACGCAUGCGACUCAAAAUCGUAUGUCCUUUGGACGUGGGGGUUCGAGUCCCCCCUCGGGUA